RNAcentral lists this ribosomal RNA (1386 nucleotides) under Triticum aestivum (bread wheat). RNAcentral's name for it is "partial small subunit ribosomal RNA". The record is from RNAcentral. Lineage: Eukaryota; Viridiplantae; Streptophyta; Magnoliopsida; Poales; Poaceae.
AUGCGCCGUCCUCUCGCCGCCGCCGCCGCCCUCCGCCUCCGCCUCCUCUCAUCAUCGUCCCGCCCCCUCGUCCCCUCGCCCUUUCCACUCCACCACCUCCUCCGCCGCGACGACGACCGCGAGGAUCGACAUCCAACGCCCCCGCCUCCGCCAUUCUCGCCCCGCCCGAUCUUCGGCUCCGCCUCCGGUGCCCCCGGCCUCCUCGGCCUCCGCGGGUGGCGGACGUUACCCCCGGCAGCGUCACCGCCCCGAGGCACCGUCGCGGACGCGCCCCCUGUCCUGCUCACCAUCUCCCGCAGUUAUUCUUUGCGUGUCGCCAAGACCAAGAAGCAGACACACUUCGACGAUGAGCACAGCCAUCGAGCGGUUAACACGGCACUUUGGUGUAAUUUCCUUGUCUUCACGCUGAAGUUUGGUGUGUGGUUUUCAACAUCUAGUCAUGUUAUGCUAGCUGAGCUAGUACAUUCGGUGGCAGACUUUGCUAACCAGGCUCUUCUUGCAUAUGGUCUGAGAAGUUCAAGACGUGCUCCAGAUGCUCUACACCCCUAUGGUUAUUCAAAAGAAAGAUUUGUAUGGUCUUUGAUAUCCGCGGUUGGAAUAUUUUGCUUGGGUUCAGGUGCUACUAUUGUGAAUGGAGUUCAGAACUUGUGGAGUUCUCAACCUCCCGAGAACAUUCACUAUGCUGCAUUAGUGAUCGGUGGGUCGAUCCUAAUUGAAGGUGCUUCACUUCUUGUUGCUAUAAAGGCUGUUAAGAAAGGUGCAGCAGCAGAAGGAAUGAGUAUCAGAGACUACAUCUGGCGUGGUCAUGAUCCAACUUCAGUUGCUGUUAUGACUGAAGAUGGUGCUGCUGUUACAGGUCUUGCUAUCGCAGCAGCAUCUUUGGUGGCUGUUCAAAUGACAGGAAACCCCAUCUAUGAUCCAAUUGGUUCUAUCAUUGUUGGUAACUUACUUGGAAUGGUUGCGAUUUUUCUCAUCCAGAGGAACAGGCAUGCUUUAAUUGGUAGGGCCAUUGAUGAUCAUGAUAUGCAGCGAGUUCUUGAAUUUCUGAAAUCUGAUCCGGUUGUAGAUUCUCUUUAUGAUUGCAAAAGUGAGGUGAUUGGGCCAGGGUUCUUUAGAUUCAAAGCAGAAAUUGAUUUCAAUGGAGUAGUCUUGGUGCAAAAUUAUCUUGAAAGGACUGGACGUGGAGUAUGGGCUAAACAGUUCCGGGAGGCCUCGUUGAGUAAGGAUGAUGCGGAGCUACGAAGGGUUAUGGCUGAGUAUGGUGAGGGUGUGGUGGAUGCUCUGGGAUAUGAAGUGGAUCGGCUGGAGUCAGAGAUACAGAAGAUUGUGCCUGGAAUCAGACAUGUCGACAUCGAGGCGCACAACCCAGACGGGCUUUCAGUUUAG